Molecule: ribosomal RNA, 983 nt
Filed under: Cephalobus sp. 7 HMM2018
Lineage: Eukaryota; Metazoa; Nematoda; Chromadorea; Rhabditida; Cephalobidae
Description: eukaryotic LSU rRNA
Rfam family: Eukaryotic large subunit ribosomal RNA
Source: RNAcentral
CGCUAAUCCUGUUGCUCUAACGGGUAACGGGAGGUGUAGCGUCUUUUAGGCGAAUUUCCUUGAUGGCUGUCGACUUAAAUUCUCCUUGACUGGGGUUCCAGAGAAGGUGAAAGGCCUGUUCAGUCGAUGGCCGUCUUGGAUUCCGUUCUACUUGGAGUCGGGUUGUUUGGGAACGCAGCCCAAAUUGGGUGGUAAACUUCAUCUAAGGCUAAAUACGGCCACGAAACCGAUAGCAAACAAGUACCGUGAGGGAAAGUUGAAAAGUACUUUGAAGAGAGAGUUCAAGAGGACGUGAAACCGGUAGGAUGGAAACGGAUAGAGCCAACGAACAAGCCCGUAUUCAGCUAGUCGGCUGCGUGCGGCAUGCCUGUGUGCUCGUUCAGGGUGCAUGGGUGUGUGCGGUAUGCGGUCGGCUAGUGCAUUUGCGGGUGAUGUGCGCUGAGGCGUGUGGCGGAGUCCUGCAAACUGUCUGGAGAGGCCUCCGCCUUCGGGCUUGAAACCUACAGGCGGGGAGUCGGGUUUCUGCUGCAUGUAGACGAAGCGACUAGGUGCAAACGCGCUGUCGUGCUGCCGGGCUAGCUGCUUGGCCGGUCGCAUGCGACUAGGUCUUGUUGGUUGGUCUUGGUGGUGCGGCAGUGCCCUGGUCGACCCUCGGUGUAAAAGUUGGUCAUCUCUCCGACCCGUCUUGAAACACGGACCAAGGAGUCUAGCGUAUGCGCGAGUCAUUGGGUGGAAAACCCAUAGGCGAAAUGAAAGUGAAGGUCUCUUCAUGAGGCUGAUAUGCGAUCCGUUGCACUACGGUGUACGCGGAGCAGCAUAGCCCCGUCUCGACUGCUUGCAGUGGGGCGGAGGUAGAGCGUAUACGCUGGUACCCGAAAGAUGGUGAACUAUGCCUGAGCAGGAUGAAGCCAGAGGAAACUCUGGUGGAGGUCCGAAGCGCUUCUGACGUGCAAAUCGAUCGUCUAUAUGGGAUAGCUUGCGAG